GAAAUGCGAUAAGUAAUGUGAAUUGCAGAAUUCAGUGAAUCAUCGAAUCUUUGAACGCACAUUGCGCCCGCCAGCACUCUGGCGGGCAUGCCUGUUCGAGCGUCAUUUCAACCCUCAGAACCCUUUGCGGGAUCUGGCGUUGGGGAUUGGCAUCCAGCCAGCCCCGAAAUCUAGUGGCGGUCCCUCCGCGACCUCCCCUGUGCAGUAGCGAUACCUCGCAGCGGGACAGCGGUCUGACCACGCCGUAAAACCCCCAACUUCUCAAGGUUGACCUCGAAUCAGGUAGGAAUACCCGCUGAACUUAAGC
RNAcentral lists this unclassified non-coding RNA (307 nucleotides) under plant metagenome. RNAcentral describes it as "partial contains 5.8S ribosomal RNA, internal transcribed spacer 2, and large subunit ribosomal RNA". The stretch from base 1 to 105 matches the Rfam family "5.8S ribosomal RNA", at positions 50 to 154 of the family's 154-position model. The record is from RNAcentral.